CCGAGGGUCUAUUGGAAACAGCAUCUCUACCCUAGAGUAGAGAGGAGCCUUCCUUCAGCCGCUGGAUCUGGAUCUAGUAAAACCACAGCAGCUGGAUGGGCAGCAUUUUGAAAUUUUAAGCGUAUGUUUAAUAUGGCCGAGAUAGUGAGAUAUAUGCUUGCUGUUAUACUAGGAUAGAAAACUAUAUAUCCAAACUAAAAGGGCAAAGUAGUGCACUAAGCUUCAGCUAUGCACAAGGUUCAGGGAAGGGCUAGAUCAUAUUUGGUCUAUUGUACAAACCUUAUCUUGUAUUUUUGCAAGAGAUUAUUUUCACGGCUUGAAUCUGGCGGCAACUCUGACGGUUGCACCGAGGCUUCCCACGUUAAGAGAAUGAAAGAAAAAUUUCAUGUGUGUUUCCUCAGUUCCUUGGAAGAUAAAGUGUGAUGGAGUGCAUUUAAUUUAAACUUGCUUAACCUGUUUGAAUUGUACUUUUGUUCUACAUCUAAUAAAGAUUUUUUUUUUUU
Molecule: non-coding RNA, 503 nt
Organism: Nicotiana tabacum (common tobacco)
Lineage: Eukaryota; Viridiplantae; Streptophyta; Magnoliopsida; Solanales; Solanaceae
Source: RefSeq, a predicted model, not a curated record